CAGUCGCCGCGGUAAUACGGAGGGUGCAAGCGUUAAUCGGAAUUACUGGGCGUAAAGCGCACGCAGGCGGUCUGUCAAGUCAGAUGUGAAAUCCCCGGGCUUAACCUGGGAACUGCAUUUGAAACUGGCAGGCUAGAGUCUUGUAGAGGGGGGUAGAAUUCCAGGUGUAGCGGUGAAAUGCGUAGAGAUCUGGAGGAAUACCGGUGGCGAAGGCGGCCCCCUGGACAAAGACUGACGCUCAGGUGCGAAAGCGUGGGGAGCAAACAGGAUUAGAUACCCCAGUAGUCCCUGUCUCUUAUAA
This 301-nucleotide ribosomal RNA is filed under the name uncultured bacterium. RNAcentral's name for it is "partial 16S ribosomal RNA". It matches the Rfam family "Bacterial small subunit ribosomal RNA", at positions 509 to 809 of the family's 1533-position model. The record is from RNAcentral.